RNAcentral lists this ribosomal RNA (253 nucleotides) under uncultured bacterium. Its description in RNAcentral is "partial 16S ribosomal RNA". It matches the Rfam family "Bacterial small subunit ribosomal RNA", at positions 524 to 776 of the family's 1533-position model. The record is from RNAcentral.
UACGAAGGGGGCUAGCGUUGCUCGGAAUUACUGGGCGUAAAGCGCACGUAGGCGGUCUUUUAAGUCGGGGGUGAAAUCCUGGAGCUCAACUCCAGAACUGCCUUCGAUACUGGAAGACUUGAGUCCGGGAGAGGUGAGUGGAACUGCGAGUGUAGAGGUGAAAUUCGUAGAUAUUCGCAAGAACACCAGUGGCGAAGGCGGCUCACUGGCCCGGUACUGACGCUGAGGAGCGAAAGCAUGGGUAGCGAACAGG